AAGGCAGCAAGGAAAAAACCAACAUAUUCGCGCAAAAGAAUCGUGAAAAACUGGUCUGAAAGAAUGGGAGAGUUGUGCGGUCGUAGUACUGAAUCAUUCUUUCAAUAGUUAUUCGUCGUGUUGCAUGAAAACUGCAGAUAGUGAAGGAAUUACCGUUCUCCAUAGUUUACUACCUACAAACUCUACUCGUCCUCCCCCGAGGAAUCGAAGCCGUCUAGGGGUGUUGGAGUACGUGCAGACGGAAUUUGUGUGUUUGCGCAGAAAAUCUUAACCCGGUCGGCACAGUUCGGUUUUUGCGUAGCACUAUAUCGCCGGUGCAGGGUGGAUGCGACUUCAGGGGUGUUCCGGAGCAAUCCAGAUUGUGGCAAUAGCUGGGGACCCCCCUUUCCUGCCAGUUUAUCCACCGUGCGUGAGACGGUGCUGGUGCAUGAGAAUAGCAUAAAUAAGUUGCACUGCAAGCAAAACAAACCAUCGACUAGCGGAAUCGGAGGAAAACUCUCUGGCGGUACCAGCGCCGUGGGGGCGUGGAGGGGAUCCAGCAAGUGGAAAUCAGCUGGUGCUGGCAACGCAAGCUCCCCGGACGGAAGUAGAUAAAAAAUGUCGGUGAAGAUAUAUUUUGAAAUUGGACACGUGGCUGCCGUCAAGAGUCGUCCGACGGCGGAGGGAUACACGCACGAUUGGGAGCUGUUCGUGCGUGGACUGGACGACAAUGAUAUCAGCCACUACAUCGACAAGGUGGUUUUCAACCUGCACGAAUCGUUCCCGAAACCGAAGCGAGUCUUCAAAGAGCCACCAUACCUGGUAAAAGAAGCCGGUUAUGCCGGAUUUAUUCUUCCCGUGGAGAUCUACUUCAAGAAUCGUGAUGAUCCAAAAAAGGCGGUGUAUAAUUACGAUCUGGACCUGACACCGGUCAAGAAUCAGCGUGAGGAGUAUGUCUUCCACAGUCCCUCCGAUGAGUUUCGCCGGAAGCUACUGAAAGGUGGCGGCUUCGUGCUGUCGGGCAGUGGAGGCCAGGGCAACACCAGUGGCACCAAUGACUAUAAAACCAAUCGAGGAGGGCACGGUGGCGGUGGUGGGGGUGGUGGAACCGAACGAUCAUCUUCCAGCAGUUCGUCGCAGGAUAAAAAGUCUAAAUCGAAAUCGUCCACCGUCGACGACACGAAAGGUCAGUUUGCGGAGUUGUUCGGGUCACCUUUUUCACACAAAACUGGCGGCAGUGGAGGCGGCAGUAAGGUGUCACCAGAUCCGAAGCUUCAGUCGUCCAGUUCCGGCUCGCGAAAAACUUCACCACCUGGCGGUGGUCCAGGCGGUGGUGGCAGUAGCAAAGGAGGCCAGUCAAGUCAAAAGAUUUCCGGCGACUCACGAUCGAUACCCAACUCUUCUUCCUCGUCCAUGUCGAAAGAGUCGUCGAAGGACAAAGCUACAUCGUCCUCCACCUCCUCGUCCUCUUCGAAGCACAAACACUCGAGCCCGAACAAGGAAAGCAAAAAGUCCUCAAACUCAAUCCCGUCGUCUGGUGGUGGAGGUGGCGGCGGUAUCGGAGAGGAGAAACAUAAUAAAGAAAAGAAGGAUAAAAGCCACUCGAAAGAGCGCGACAAAAGUGGCAAGGAAAAAUCAACGAACAGUAGUAGCGGCAAUUCGAGUGCGGCCGGCAUAAACACAACGCAAUCUCUAUCGCAUUCCGGCGGUUCCGGCAGCUCAAACUCCGUCUCGAUGAAGCGACCCGGCGGUAGUGUCGCGACCAACAAUAGCAAUACUAGCAGUAACAUUAGCAAUAGUAGUACUAAUAGUAAUAACCCGACAGUUCCUACUAGUGGUAGCAGCAGCAGCAGCAGCCAUCCGACCGGAUCAUCCACCGGUGUACAGUCCGGGGGACUGAAAACUUCCGACGCUGGAGGACAGAAGCGUGGCAGCAGUGAGAAGGAAAAGAAGAGCAGUAAAAAAGAGAAGAAAAGCUACGAAAAGGAAAAAGACCGAACGGUAGACGCUAGCUCUUCCGGUCAACGAAAGGUCGAUCGUUCUGGGGAUGUAAAGGGCAACGCACCCCAAUCCAGUUCGGCAUCUGGCCAGCAGCAGCAGAUGGGCUUCUCGAAGGGGGGUGACGUACCACCCGGUGGUAGCACAAAGUCAUCAUCCGCCUCUUCAGCUGGCAAUAAAAGCCAUCCAUCGAGCGAGGGGGGACAGCAGACGCAGAAAGACAUUGGUGGAAAAUCGUCCGCAAGCUCAAAUUCAAACGCAUCGGGCAGUAGUGGUUACUUAAAGGAGAAAAAGAUACACGGUUCCGUAGAAUCGAUGCGGCAAGACCCAACUUUAAACACGUCCUCAGGUGCCACUGGACCUCCACUUUCGUCGCAGAAGACAGGGGAAAAGAGUGAUAAGCUCGAUCGCGACAAGGACGAAGCGCGCAAGCACAAGCACAAAAAGAAGGACAAGUCGAAGGAUAAGGAAAAAGAUCGGACAUCGGCGGGAAAGGAGAAAAAGGAGCGCAAGGAGAAGGAUAAAGCGGUGGCCAGUGGCAGUGGCAGUGGCAGUGGAAGCAAGGGAAGUAGCUUUUCGACACCUACCCGUGAAGCGAACGAUGCUCUUCCAUCGAAAGCAUCGAAACAGCACGCUAGCGGAAAUGAACCUGCAGUGAAAACAACUGGUCACGAUCGGGACAAAAGUCAACAUGGAUUCAAUACAGGUGGUGUUGGUGGUGGUGGUAGUGUUGCUCGACACCAGCAACAACCCUCGGCGAAAUCAACGACUCCUAUGGCAGCUCUAAUCGGAGAGAUAAGCGGGGAGGAUAAUUCAAACGAUUCCGACGAACGCACCGGGGACGGAGACAGUCGUGCACCUUCGACAAUUGCGAACGAAAAGGACUCGGAAGCUUCCAACAGUAGCAUAGCGGACAUGCUAGGCACGAAUAGUAUGGCACCGGGUCAGCAAAGGCCACCGUCAACAACUUCAUCCAGUACGACGGCUUCAUCGGUACGGGAUUCAACGGAAAAGUACCACCAUCAUAAGAGCAAAAAGGAAAAAGCCUUAUCACGAGCAGCAGCCUCUUCCGCCCCCGCUCAACCAUUAUCGCCGGUCGUGUCGGACACAAAAGACGCGCCCCCAGCAGCAUCAUCCUCCCGCUCGUCAGGAAAGCGAAAGCGAAAGAACAAAGACACAGAGGGACCUGAAAAAAUUGCACCGAGAGAUUCCACGGUACCGGAAAUGGCUACGAGGGAAGGGCGAAGUCUGUCACCUCCUUCGCCACCUGCCGGAACUGCGUCUGGAUCGAGCCUGAUGGAACCACCGGCCAAGGUACCGAAAAAGGACGAUUCCUACGGCGGUGCCCCCGGGCCUGGGAAACUACCGGAUACGUCCGACCACACGAACAACAACAAUGCCAUUAAUAAUAACAACAUCAGGCACUCGGUUGGUAGUGGUGGCAGUACGGCAGGAGGAGAUGACAGCAGCAGUGGAAAUAGUACAUACUUUGGGCUCAACAGUAUCCCUCCAUCGAUCGCUGGUUCUGGUGGAGGAAGCUCAUCGCUUUCCGCUGGUGUUAGUAGCUCAUUGCUCAACUCUAGUAUUAGUAACGCCGCGCUCUCCUCCGGUGUUGGUGGCACGGGUACGGGAAGUUCAGCCGCCAACUCUCUCACCGGAGACUACAUGUCCGAGCUGAAGGAUCUGCAGCACAAGAUUAUGACGCUCCAGGACAACAGCGAGCUGCAGCGGGUGGUAGAGAUGAUAGCGGCCACUGGGUGCUACGAGAUAACGAGCGCCACCUUCGACUUUGACCUGUGUGCCCUGGACCGGCUGACGGUGCAACGGCUGCAGGAUUUUUUUGCCACCUCCUGACAUUAAAGCUACCAAGGUACGAACCGUGAGUCGCCAAUGGGACGGCGCCACUAGGCAAUGCGAACCCGAUCUGCAUUUGGUAUAGUUAGAUCUGGCAUCCCGCUCUUCGCUUCCAGUGCCCUCUUUUGAAAACACCACGGACGUAGGUUAGUAAAUUUGCGAAUACGUUAGAGCCUGCCUUCGUGAAACGCACCUUUGUCGGUACGCUGUCGUGUUAGCACAUGUUUUCAUGGGAGUAUCUAGAAUGGCGCAAGGGGCUCCGUGAACGAUGAAUACAUCAAUCGACAUGCGAAGACAAACUAAUACUUAGUACCGGCCAGCUUAAAAAACGUGGUAAGCUAUCAACGCUUUUGCAGUGCGUUUUCGUACAAACCAAAUGGACGCGAGAAGUACAAAACGAACGGUUGUAUUUACAAACAUACAAAGGCGAGGACAUCCGUGAGCGGACAUACAUGCGACCGUAGAGUCAAGGGUUGACCGGGCGAGAUUAGCGGCUACUGUGGGGCAUUAUAAUAGACAAGAUUAUGUCCCAACACUUUCAGUAAUUUCAGGGCAUUUCACAUACAGGCGCCUCGGUAAAACCGUGUUGUACCCUGCAUUCCUAUAUGGAAGCAUAUUCUCUGCACCGCGUGGUCUAUAGAUAAAAAAUGUACCUUAUCGACUCGCAACUGUUGAGUCGAUCAUAAAAGAAUAAGAGAAGUGUUUUUUGGUUUUGGCAAAAAAAUCGAAGUAGGCGACUGGUUGCUUACGCUUAACGACUAUCAAAUUACGAUACGUAUCCUUAACGAACAAAAUCAACUGUCCUUCACUCUCAAAUACGUACGACGCAAAUGGUUACAAGUAACGUAGGAUAAUUAUAUUCAAUCACAAGUGCAUCUCAUCCUUUGGUGCACCUGGGCGUGUUGUGUUAGUGUUGGUGUACAUGGUGUGAACAGAUAGGACGAACUAAGCGGAUUGACUGACGGGCAGAGUUAACGGCAGGAAAUAACCUCAUUGAAAUCGAGCGACCUCGGAAAUGUAGUACCGCUGAAAGACACAAUAUUGUAGGGUUUGUUCCAGGAUAAGACCCAUGGUCCCGUAAAAGCUAACACUAUGUUAGCUUAAAUUGUAUUCUAUCUUAUACUAUCCUUUUGCGGAGGCACUUUCUCACUUUUCCUACUUUAUUCUUUUUUAAAAUAAGUUUAGUGGAGAGGCACGGAACGGGAGUGUUUGUUGUUUGUGUUUGACGUCUAGUGGCCAUUUCGGGGAACAGGAAAGAUGUUUUUAAAAUUAGCUUACUUUGGCUGCCUUACUAUGACCGUUUAGAAAUCUCCCCAUCGUAAUGUUAUACAGGAUGAAAACCCAUCUUUUUUUAAAUACUCUCACUAAAGACAGACGAGAGCAAGAAGGAAAACAAAACAGUAGAUUAGUACAAUAAUUGAGUUUCAUACGUUGAGUUUUAUACGUUUAGAAAUGUUGUAUUCACCAACGUGUAAUUUAACAAAUAGUUUUCAUGUUAAACUAUUGUCUCAUUUUAAGUUACCAAGAGUAUGUAAUAGCAGAACAGCUUUGGUAGGGUCACGCAAAAGUUGGUAAGGCGCACGUAUUUGUGUAUGUAGGCAUUAUUGGAAUCGGAAGCGGAGGAAUUCUAACUGCUCCAAGGCGUUGUGGAAAGAACAGGCAGAGUAGCUUAGUAGCGAGCGUGGUAAUAGUUAAAAGAAGAAUGAAACGUGGCGAACUGAACGAACUGAAAUCAUCACAAAAUGAUAAAUAAGUGUAAAUACGUAUAUAAAUAAUAUACAUUAACAUGAGCAUUGUAUAUCGGUUUAAACGUUCUAAAUCUUAACGCUAAGGAACAUAGUAAAACUAAUAAUGUAACCAUGAAAGGAGAUCAUCGACACGAAAGAAACUUUUGGCACCGGUAUUUUUUAAAACCGUGCACGCUACGCAAGUCGUUUUCGUAGGUUAUGCAUGUUUUUGUUUUAAUUUUUGCGUGUGUUUUCUAUUUGUUCUAUAACCAAAAGGUUUUUUGUUUUUCCCCCAAUAUUGUGUUAAAAAAAUCCCUGUAUAGAUCUUUAGAUUCGACAUAUUAUACUCCGGCGAUUGCCCGACAACUGAGAGCUUCGUAGAAAAACGACACUUCUGAUUAAUGACCAAAACGAAGCAUAAAACUCGUUUGACAUGAAAUUAAACGCAAAGGUUUAAAAUUUAAACAUUUUCCCUUCAGGCUUGGGAGGUUAAUGGGCAAGGUAACAGUUGAACGCACAACUGUUCGUAGCUAUCAUUAGGCCAGAAAUAAGUAUUGAAGAGAUGUACCGAAGAUGAAAAAAUAAAACCCAUACCAAUGCUCUCUGGUGCUAAACUGUG
RNA transcript from Anopheles coustani, 6177 nucleotides. It is a transcript of the gene named protein AF-9, with no coding region annotated. The record is from RefSeq and is a predicted model, not a curated record. The transcript has 4 exons. NCBI's taxonomy places the organism in Eukaryota, Metazoa, Arthropoda, Insecta, Diptera, Culicidae.